UUUCCGUAGGUGAACCUGCGGAUGGAUCAUUCAUAAUAAAGUGUUUUAUGGCACUUUUUAAAAAUCCAUAUCAACCUUGUGUGCAAUGUUAGAUCUCGUCAAUCUUGGCGAGAUUUUUAUACAUCAACUCAUUCUUUAACUAAUUUGUCUGAAAAAUAUUAUGAAUACUUAAUUCAAAAUACAACUUUCAACAACGGAUCUCUUGGCUCUC
RNAcentral lists this unclassified non-coding RNA (211 nucleotides) under plant metagenome. RNAcentral describes it as "partial contains small subunit ribosomal RNA, internal transcribed spacer 1, and 5.8S ribosomal RNA". The record is from RNAcentral.